This 427-nucleotide ribosomal RNA is filed under the name uncultured archaeon. Its description in RNAcentral is "bacterial SSU rRNA". It matches the Rfam family "Archaeal small subunit ribosomal RNA", at positions 474 to 903 of the family's 1478-position model. The record is from RNAcentral.
UACCUGCAGCUCAAGUGGUGGCCGCUAUUAUUGGGCCUAAAACGUUCGUAGCCGGCUGAGUAAAUGCUUGGGUAAAUCGUGCCGCUUAACGGUACGAAUUCCGGGUAGACUGCUCAGCUUGAGACCGGGAGAAGCUAGAGGUACUCCUGGGGUAGAGGUGAAAUUCUGUAAUCCUGGGGGGACCACCAGUGGCGAAGGCGUCUAGCUAGAACGGGUCUGACGGUGAGGGACGAAACCCUGGGGCGCAAACCGGAUUAGAUACCCGGGUAGUCCAGGGCGCAAACGCUGCUUGCUUGAUGUUAGCUGGGCUCCGGGCUCAGCUAGUGUCGGAGAGAAGUUGUUAAGCAAGCUGCCUGGGAAUACGAUCGCAAGAUUGAAACUUAAAGGAAUUGGCGGGGAGCACAGCAACGGGUGGAGCGUGCGGUUU